GUUUGGUGGGUGGCUUUACUGCCGGUGGUUUAGGUGGUUUAACGGCAGGUGGUUUAGGCGGUUUGACGGGAUGUUUAGGAGGUUUGUGAGGCGAUGGUGAUGGCUUAGGAGGGCUACAGUCGCAAGCAUAGGAGACGGCAACGAAGCCGAGAAGGAGGAGAACGAGGAAGGAGAGGUUUUGAGCACGAGACCCCAUUUUUUUAGAAUGAGGGGUUUGGGUUUGUGAAAGGAGUGAGUAAGUAGAUACAAUGAGUGUACAUGUACCUUUUAUAGAAAAAAAAUAACUCUUCUAAGAUAUUUUAUUUUGUAACAUAAAAUAGUGUAAAACACCAAAUAGUGAUACAGUAGUAUAUAGAUGAUUGGAAUUGGAUUUGAUUAAGCACGUAGUAU
Molecule: long non-coding RNA, 390 nt
Filed under: Capsella grandiflora
Lineage: Eukaryota; Viridiplantae; Streptophyta; Magnoliopsida; Brassicales; Brassicaceae
Description: long non-coding RNA (CGRA_LNC000357)
Source: RNAcentral